Molecule: ribosomal RNA, 502 nt
Filed under: uncultured Acidovorax sp.
Lineage: Bacteria; Pseudomonadati; Pseudomonadota; Betaproteobacteria; Burkholderiales; Comamonadaceae
Description: partial 16S ribosomal RNA
Source: RNAcentral
CACGUAGUUAGCCGGUGCUUAUUCUUACGGUACCGUCAUGGUCCCAGGGUAUUAUCCCGGGACUUUUCGUUCCGUACAAAAGCAGUUUACAACCCGAAGGCCUUCAUCCUGCACGCGGCAUUGCUGGAUCAGGCUUUCGCCCAUUGUCCAAAAUUCCCCACUGCUGCCUCCCGUAGGAGUCUGGGCCGUGUCUCAGUCCCAGUGUGGCUGGUCGUCCUCUCAGACCAGCUACAGAUCGUCGGCUUGGUAAGCUUUUAUCCCACCAACUACCUAAUCUGCCAUCGGCCGCUCCGUUCGCGCAAGGCCCGAGGGUCCCCUGCUUUCAUCCGUAGAUCGUAUGCGGUAUUAGCAAAGCUUUCGCUCCGUUAUCCCCCACGAUCGGGCACGUUCCGAUGUAUUACUCACCCGUUCGCCACUCGUCAGCCUCCGAAGAGCUGUUACCGUUCGACUUGCAUGUGUAAGGCAUGCCGCCAGCGUUCAAUCUGAGCCAGGAUCAAACUCU